CAAGAAUGAAAGGUUGUAAAGAUCUAGCGCAAACGCCCAUCGACCAGUUUACUUAUAUCAACGAUUGGUUGAUCCGAGGAAUCGGAAACAAUGUUAAGAAAUCGCGCUUCAAGUAUUAGAUUAGCAGAGAAUGGAUCUGACCAGGCGAGAGGACUGCGUUUAUGUCCGCUGAAGGCACGUUACAGGAAGGAGCGAUGGUAAUUAACGAUGGAUGAGAAUGUUUUGAAAAGUCGGGCUGGAAAGUGUAUCCUAAUCUUCCUUCACUUCUGGACAAAUAAGUUGUGUUCGCUCUUAACAGGCUUCUCUUGACUGUUCUGAUUGUGGGCUUUAUAACCCUGUUUGCUUAUGGGAAGCGGGUCUCUUUAGCCGGGUGUGUGUGUGCGUGUGUGUGUGUGUGUGUGUGUGUGUAUGCGUAUCUGGGUGACGUUAGGCGUGAACAGGAUGCUCCCGUCACCUGUGGCUUUUGUCUAUGAAGUUGUUUGGAUGACAACAAGAGCCACGUGGAGGCAUUAUGCCGCAUCCUGCCCUGACUGAAUGGGAUACAGUGCGACAUCGCUAGCCAUGAAAUGGAUGUGUUUGCUUGUUCAUAGAUAUAAGAGGAAACGCCAAGCCUUUUUUUUUUUUAACAUAAGGUAGUUUUUUUUGCUUUGUAUGUAAUGUACAUUUUUGUCAUUGAGUCUUUGGCUGCGACAUGUGCAUUGCUUAAGUGAAAUAUGCAGUAGUGUAUCUAUGAACGUUAAAUGUCUGCCCCCCUCUCUCUCUCUCUCUCUCUCUCUCUCUCUCUCUCUGUGUGUGUGUGUGUGUGUGUGUGUUAGAGAUGGCUCAGGAUGUCUUAUGAGGCGAACAAGAGUGUCCUCCUGGUUCCUCAGGAGUCGCGUGCGUCAUGCGUGUUCCAGUCGGCUGAGGAGAGAGACGAAAUCCCCGGCAUGGGCGACGACAGUGUCCUGGAGAUGCUGAGCUACUCUAAGUUCUCGGACCUGGAGGCGUGGCUGUGCAUGCCCUCCGCUCUGUUUCCCAGGACACGCCCCUCCUGGUCCUUCUCUCCGCUGUCCAGCGAGGGGGAGGAGUCUGAAGCCGACAGAGACCAAGAGAUCAGGCCGUCCGACAGGGACUCCAUCUUGCUGACGCGUCCAUCAGAGAGGAGCGACUCCGCUUCACCGCCACCCCCCACCUCCUCCGGGUCCCCGCAACCCCGCACCUCCACGCCGGCGUCCGCUGCCCCCCCCACCAGUGCCACCUCUGACCUUAGCAGAGACGCCCCCCAGGCUAGAUCCAGCGGUAGGAAGAGGAGACGUCUGGCAGCCAGCCCAGGAGGACUGCAUUGGGAUUCUACAGGCUCGGUGCUGAGGGAGUACGAUCGUUCCGAAGCACGGAGCGGUGUGCGUCCUGUGGCGACCCCUGAGCCCUCCUCCUCUCCCUCGGUGGACGGCUCCGUGAGGAAGAAUCUCUUGGUGAGGAAGACUCUGUCUGUGGACGACCGGCUGCUUCACACACCACCAGACCAGCAGUGGAUCCUCAGCCGCCUCGACAAGGGCAAGAAGAAGCUGCGCAACAUCCAUAGCCUUGGAUCAACGGGGAGAUACGAGCCUCGUAAAAAGUCGGACAGUAAGAUCCAGCGCCUGGCACAGAGACUCCAGAGGCAGAGUGAUGCGGCGCUGAUCCGGGAAUUUCGACCUUUCCUCUUCCUGCCCGGAACGCCGGGAACAUCCCAGAGCCUCGACAGGUAGAUAGACCUCUACCUCUCCUCUCAUGUCAUUCUCUCCUCCCUCUCUCCUCUCCUCUCCUCUCCUCUCCUCCCCUCCCUCUCUCCUCUCCUCUCCUCUCC
Clupea harengus (Atlantic herring) is the source of this 1825-nucleotide long non-coding RNA. Lineage: Eukaryota; Metazoa; Chordata; Actinopteri; Clupeiformes; Clupeidae. The record is from Ensembl.